Molecule: ribosomal RNA, 464 nt
Filed under: Vreelandella stevensii
Lineage: Bacteria; Pseudomonadati; Pseudomonadota; Gammaproteobacteria; Oceanospirillales; Halomonadaceae
Description: partial 16S ribosomal RNA
Rfam family: Bacterial small subunit ribosomal RNA
Source: RNAcentral
CCUACGGGCGGCUGCAGUGGGGAAUAUUGGACAAUGGGCGAAAGCCUGAUCCAGCCAUGCCGCGUGUGUGAAGAAGGCCUUCGGGUUGUAAAGCACUUUCAGUGGGGAAGAAAGCCUUGGGGCUAAUACCCUCGAGGAAGGACAUCACCCACAGAAGAAGCACCGGCUAACUCCGUGCCAGCAGCCGCGGUAAUACGGAGGGUGCGAGCGUUAAUCGGAAUUACUGGGCGUAAAGCGCGCGUAGGCGGUCUGAUAAGCCGGUUGUGAAAGCCCCGGGCUCAACCUGGGAACGGCAUCCGGAACUGUCAGGCUAGAGUGCAGGAGAGGAAGGUAGAAUUCCCGGUGUAGCGGUGAAAUGCGUAGAGAUCGGGAGGAAUACCAGUGGCGAAGGCGGCCUUCUGGACUGACACUGACGCUGAGGUGCGAAAGCGUGGGUAGCAAACAGGAUUAGAUACCCCUGUAUC